UUUUUUUUUUUUUCAAAUAAAAAAAAACGUUUUUAUAUUUGUCAUAGUCAUCACCUUAGCCUUAUCAAUUAUUAAAGCAAUCCACUCUUGUCCAUAUUUAUUUAUAUUUGCAGCAUCUCAGGAUCUGAAAUCCCGGGAAACGAUAACGUUUGAUUCUUUCCAAGGCAGAAAUGGAUGAGCUCAAGCUAAAACCAGCAAACUCGUGUCCUCUCACCCCAUUAACUUUCUUGGAAAGGGCAGCAACUGUCUAUGGUGAUUGCCCCUCUAUCAUCUACAACAACACCUCUUACACCUGGUCUCACACCCACCGUCGAUGUCUCCAGCUCGCUUCCUCUCUUUCAUCCAACGGCUUCACCCGCGGCCACGUCGUUUCCGUUAUUGCUCCCAAUACUCCCGCCAUGUACGAGCUUCAGUUCGCCGUUCCCAUGUCCGGUGCUGUCCUCAACAACAUCAACACUCGCCUGGACGCGCGUACCAUCUCCAUACUCCUGCGUCACAGCGAAUCAAAGCUCGUCUUCGUUGAUUGCUUGUCACGUGCUGUUAUCCUUGAAGCUAUCUCUUUGUUUCCACCUAACUCUCCACGUCCUGCCCUCGUCCUCAUCACCGAUGAUGAUCAGGCACCAGAGUUAUCAUCACCAUCAUCACUGACCGUUGAUUUUUGUUGUACGUACGAAAGCAUGGUGGAGAAGGGUGAUCCGGCGUUCAACUGGGUCCAGCCUCAAAGCGAGUGGGAUCCGAUGGUUUUGAACUAUACAUCAGGUACUACCUCAUCUCCUAAAGGUGUGGUACACUGCCACAGGGGGGUUUUCAUCGUAACCGUUGAAUCCCUGAUUGAUUGGAGUGUUCCAAGACAACCUGUUUAUUUGUGGACCCUUCCAAUAUUCCACGCCAAUGGAUGGAGCUACCCUUGGGGUAUAGCUGCGGUUGGUGGGACCAACAUCUGUCUUCGUAAAUUCGAUGGCCCUACUAUCUUCGGCAUGAUCAAGAGACACGGUGUCACUCACAUGUGUGGAGCACCUGUGGUGCUAAAUAUGCUAACUAACUCUCCCAAUAAUGAACCACUCAGGAACCCAGUCCAGAUUCUGACCGCUGGAGCUCCACCGCCAGCCACCGUGCUAUUCCGAACAGAGUCGCUGGGUUUCUUGGUGAGUCAUGGAUACGGGUUAACUGAAACGGGAGGACUCGUGGUGUCGUGUGCUUGGAAACCGAAGUGGAACCAGUUGCCAGCAAGCGAGAGAGCUAGACUAAAGGCAAGACAAGGAGUGAAGACUGCUGGGUUCACAGAGAUAGACGUGGUGGAUCCGAAGACAGGAGCCAGCGUGAAGAGAGAUGGGUUAUCAAUCGGCGAAAUAGUUCUGAGAGGUGGGUGUGUGAUGUUGGGUUAUCUCAAGGACCCAGAAGGCACGUCAAAAUGUUUGAAAGAUGAUGGUCGGUUCUAUACCGGAGACGUGGGGGUUAUGCACCCAGAUGGGUAUUUAGAGAUUAAAGAUCGAUCCAAAGAUGUGAUCAUUAGCGGUGGAGAGAACAUAAGCAGUGUGGAGGUUGAGUCUGUGUUGUACACCAAUCCGGCCGUGAAUGAGGCAGCUGUGGUGGCUCGACCAGAUGAGUACUGGGGGGAGACACCCUGUGCAUUUGUGAGUUUGAAAGAAGGGUUGAAUCAGAAACCAAGCGAGAAGGAUAUAAUUGAUUUUUGUAGGGAAAAAAUGCCGCAUUAUAUGGUGCCAAAAACUAUUGUGUUUAAAGAUGAAUUGCCUAAGACUUCAACUGGGAAGAUAAAGAAGUUUAUGCUGAGAGAAAUUGCCAAAUCCAUGGGGUCUUCAAGAGUGAGUCGAAUGUAGAGUUGAAUCGGCCGAGUUUGAGGUAGGGAUUUGAAUUUAUGUGGCAAUUGUGGUCUUGUCUUAUUUGUUCACAUUUUCAAACCAAUCGCUAUCUGAUGGUUGCGUACGUAAUUUGGCAUGCCAGAAUUAUUCUUAUGUUCUAAUGCAGAGAUCCAGUAGCUGUAGUUGAUGUGAUGAUAAGCUACUACCAAGUACCAAUUACCAUCAAUUGAUAAUUGUGCUUGUGAUAGGUUCAUCUCCCUUAAUAAUUCCACAAUAUCUAGUAUCAAUUUUUUUUAAAGAUAAU
RNAcentral lists this unclassified non-coding RNA (2124 nucleotides) under Hevea brasiliensis (rubber tree). The record is from RNAcentral. Lineage: Eukaryota; Viridiplantae; Streptophyta; Magnoliopsida; Malpighiales; Euphorbiaceae.